UGUCUAAGUACGAGCCGUGUUCACACGGCGAGACCGCGUACGGCUCAUUAAAUCAGUCGUGGUCCAAAUGGGCCAGUGCUUAUCCUACUUGGAUAACUGUGGUAAUUCCAGAGCUAAUAUAUGCAACUCAUACCCCGAAGGCCGCGCUCUUGCAGUGUGCGCUGGACGGGUGCUUUUAUUAGACCAAACCGCUGAGGGUGUGUUAGCCUCCCGGGGCGCACGCUUGACUCGCAUGAUGGUGACUCUGGAUAACCUUUGACAAGCGCACGUACCACUCUUUUGAGCGGACGGCGCUGCCACUUUCGAGUGUCUGCCUUAUCAGCUAUCAACCGUUCGUUACGUGCGACCGAUGGCUUUGACGGGUAACGGGGAAUCAGGGUUCGAUUCCGGAGAGGCAGCCUGAGAGACGGCUACCACGUCCAAGGACGGCAGCAGGCGCGCAAAUUACCCAAUCCCAGCUUCUGGGGGAGGUAGUGACGAAAUCUAACGAUGCGGGCGCCCUUUCUAGGGCCCCGCAAUCGGAAUGAGCACUUUCUAAACAACCUGUUGAGAACCUACUGAAGGGCAAGUCUGGUGCCAGCAGCCGCGGUAAUUCCAGCUUCAGCAGCAUCUAUUAAAGUUGCUGCGGUUAAAAGGCUCGCAGUUGAAUGUCAGUGCCGGGCGCAGGUUAGGUGGACGCUGGGGUGUGAGAACCAACACGGCACGGGCUUCGUCUGGAUGCUUGUC
Molecule: ribosomal RNA, 726 nt
Filed under: Crangonyx sp. 1 TRS-2023a
Lineage: Eukaryota; Metazoa; Arthropoda; Malacostraca; Amphipoda; Crangonyctidae
Description: SSU rRNA
Rfam family: Eukaryotic small subunit ribosomal RNA
Source: RNAcentral